RNAcentral lists this ribosomal RNA (499 nucleotides) under uncultured bacterium. Its description in RNAcentral is "partial 16S ribosomal RNA". It matches the Rfam family "Bacterial small subunit ribosomal RNA", at positions 28 to 507 of the family's 1533-position model. The record is from RNAcentral.
GACGAACGCUGGCGGCAUGCCUAAUACAUGCAAGUCGAGCGGACUUUCAAGAAGCUUGCUUUUUGAAAGUUAGCGGCGGACGGGUGAGUAACACGUGGGCAACCUGCCUGCAAGACGGGGAUAACUCCGGGAAACCGGGGCUAAUACCGGAUAAUAUCUUCCUUCGCAUGAAGGAAGGUUGAAAGGCGGCGCAAGCUGCCGCUUGCAGAUGGGCCCGCGGCGCAUUAGCUAGUUGGUGAGGUAACGGCUCACCAAGGCGACGAUGCGUAGCCGACCUGAGAGGGUGAUCGGCCACACUGGGACUGAGACACGGCCCAGACUCCUACGGGAGGCAGCAGUAGGGAAUCUUCCGCAAUGGACGAAAGUCUGACGGAGCAACGCCGCGUGAGCGAAGAAGGUCUUCGGAUCGUAAAGCUCUGUUGUCAGGGAAGAACAAGUACCGUUCGAACAGGGCGGUACCUUGACGGUACCUGACCAGAAAGCCACGGCUAACUACGUG